UACGUAGGGUGCAAGCGUUGUCCGGAAUUAUUGGGCGUAAAGAGCUCGUAGGCGGUUUGUCGCGUCGAAUGUGAAAACCCGGGGCUCAACCCCGGGCCUGCAUUCGAUACGGGCAGACUAGAGUUCGGUAGGGGAGUCUGGAAUUCCUGGUGUAGCGGUGAAAUGCGUAGAUAUCAAGAGGAACACCGGUGGCGAAGGCGGUUCUCUGGGCAUUACCUGACGCUGAGGAGCGAAAGUGUGGGGAGCGAACAGG
Molecule: ribosomal RNA, 253 nt
Filed under: uncultured bacterium
Lineage: Bacteria
Description: partial 16S ribosomal RNA
Rfam family: Bacterial small subunit ribosomal RNA
Source: RNAcentral